GAAAGCGUGNGGAGCGAACAGGAUUAGAUACCCUGGUAGUNCACGCCGUAAACGAUGAGUGCUAGGUGUUAGGCCCUUUCCGGGGCUUAGUGCCGCAGCUAACGCAUUAAGCACUCCGCCUGGGGAGUACGACCGCAAGGUUGAAACUCAAAGGAAUUGACGGGGGCCCGCACAAGCGGUGGAGCAUGUGGUUUAAUUCGAAGCAACGCGAAGAACCUUACCAGGUCUUGACAUCCCGAUGCCCGCUCUAGAGAUAGAGUUUUACUUCGGUACAUCGGUGACAGGUGGUGCAUGGUUGUCGUCAGCUCGUGUCGUGAGAUGUUGGGUUAAGUCCCGCAACGAGCGCAACCCUUAUUGUUAGUUGCCAUCAUUCAGUUGGGCACUCUAGCGAGACUGCCGGUAAUAAACCGGAGGAAGGUGGGGAUGACGUCAAAUCAUCAUGCCCCUUAUGACCUGGGCUACACACGUGCUACAAUGGCUGGUACAACGAGUCGCAAGUCGGUGACGGCAAGCUAAUCUCUUAAAGCCAGUCUCAGUUCGGAUUGUAGGCUGCAACUCGCCUACAUGAAGUCGGAAUCGCUAGUAAUCGCGGAUCAGCACGCCGCGGUGAAUACGUUCCCGGGCCUUGUACACACCGCCCGUCACACCACGAGAGUUUGUAACACCCGAAGUCGGUGAGGUAACCUUUUAGGAGCCAGCCGCCUAAGGUNGGAUAGAUGA
Molecule: ribosomal RNA, 720 nt
Filed under: uncultured bacterium
Lineage: Bacteria
Description: bacterial SSU rRNA
Rfam family: Bacterial small subunit ribosomal RNA
Source: RNAcentral